This 519-nucleotide ribosomal RNA is filed under the name uncultured bacterium. RNAcentral describes it as "bacterial SSU rRNA". It matches the Rfam family "Bacterial small subunit ribosomal RNA", at positions 29 to 526 of the family's 1533-position model. The record is from RNAcentral.
AACGAACGCUGGCGGCGUGGAUAAGACAUGCAAGUCGAACGGGAUAUCAUUUGUAGCAAUACAGAUGAUGUUCAGUGGCGAAAGGGUGCGUAACACGUGGGCAAUCUACCGAGAAGUGGGGCAUAGCUCGCCGAAAGGCGAAUUAAUACCGCAUGUGACCUUGGACCUCCUAGUCUGAGCGUCAAAGCCGGGGCAACCUGGCGCUUCUUGAUGAGCCCGCGGCCUAUCAGCUAGUUGGUGAGGUAACGGCUCACCAAGGCUUUGACGGGUAGCUGGUCUGAGAGGACGACCAGCCACACUGGAACUGAGACACGGUCCAGACACCUACGGGUGGCAGCAGUCGAGAAUUUUUCACAAUGGGGGAAACCCUGAUGGAGCGACGCCGCGUGGAGGAUGAAGGCCUUCGGGUUGUAAACUCCUGUCAUUGGUGAACAAGAUUGGCCGGGUAACUCCGUGCCGAUUUGCUAGUAGCCGAAGAGGAAGGGACGGCUAACUCUGUGCCAGCCGCCGCCGUAACAC